UGGGGAAUUUUGGACAAUGGGCGAAAGCCUGAUCCAGCAAUGCCGCGUGUGUGAAGAAGGCCUUCGGGUUGUAAAGCACUUUUGUCCGGAAAGAAAUCCUUGGCUCUAAUACAGUCGGGGGAUGACGGUACCGGAAGAAUAAGCACCGGCUAACUACGUGCCAGCAGCCGCGGUAAUACGUAGGGUGCAAGCGUUAAUCGGAAUUACUGGGCGUAAAGCGUGCGCAGGCGGUUUGCUAAGACCGAUGUGAAAUCCCCGGGCUCAACCUGGGAACUGCAUUGGUGACUGGCAGGCUAGAGUAUGGCAGAGGGGGGUAGAAUUCCACGUNUGAGCAGUGAAAUGCGUGGAGAUGUGGAGGAAUACCGAUGGCGAAGGCAGCCCCCCUGGGCCAAUACUGACGCUCAUGCACGAAAGGCGUGGGGGAGCAAACAGGAUUAGAUACCCCUGGUAGUCCACGCCCUAAACGAUGUCAACUAGUUGUUGGGGAUUCAUUUCCUUAGUAACGUAGCUAACGCGUGAAGUUGACCGCCUGGGGAGUACGGUCGCAAGAUUAAAACUCAAAGGAAUUGACGGGGUCAUAGCUGUUUCCU
This 590-nucleotide ribosomal RNA is filed under the name uncultured bacterium. RNAcentral describes it as "partial 16S ribosomal RNA". It matches the Rfam family "Bacterial small subunit ribosomal RNA", at positions 355 to 1375 of the family's 1533-position model. The record is from RNAcentral.